Molecule: ribosomal RNA, 907 nt
Filed under: uncultured bacterium
Lineage: Bacteria
Description: bacterial SSU rRNA
Rfam family: Bacterial small subunit ribosomal RNA
Source: RNAcentral
AGAGUUUGAUCCUGGCUCAGGAUGAACGCUGGCGGCGUGCUUAAUACAUGCAAGUCGAGCAACGAAAGCGCAAGGGGUAACCCUUGCGCCUGAAAGCGGCGAACGGGUGAGUAACACGUGGGCAACGUGCCCCGGACACCGGGAUAACAACGGGAAACCGUUGCUAAUACCGGAUAACCUCUGCGCUCCGCAUGGAAUGCAGGGCAAAGCUCCGGCGGUCUGGGAUCGGCCCGCGGCCUAUCAGCUUGUUGGUGGGGUAACGGCCCACCAAGGCGAUGACGGGUAGCUGACGUGAGAGCGUGACCAGCCACACUGGGACUGAGACACGGCCCAGACUCCUACGGGAGGCAGCAGUAGGGAAUCUUGCUUAAUGGGCGCAAGUCUGAAGCAGCGACGCCGCGUGAGGGAUGAAGGCCUUCGGGUUGUAAACCUCUUUCAGCGGGGACGAAGCCUCACGGUGACGGUACCCGCAGAAGAAGGUCCGGCCAACUACGUGCCAGCAGCCGCGGUAAUACGUAGGGACCGAGCGUUAUCCGGAUUUAUUGGGCGUAAAGAGCGUGUAGGCGGCCGAAUAAGUCUGACGUGAAAUCUGGAGGCUCAACCUCCAGCUGUCGUUGGAAACUAUUCGGCUAGAGUCCGGAAGAGGAGAGUGGAAUUCCCGGUGUAGCGGUGAAAUGCGCAGAUAUCGGGAAGAACACCCAUGGCGAAGGCAGCUCUCUGGGACGGUACUGACGCUGAGACGCGAAAGCGUGGGGAGCGAACAGGAUUAGAUACCCUGGUAGUCCACACCGUAAACGUUGGGCGCUAGGUGUGGGACCUAUUCCAUGGGUUCCGUGCCGUAGCUAACGCAUUAAGCGCCCCGCCUGGGGAGUACGGCCGCAAGGCUAAAACUUAAAGGAAUUGACGG